RNAcentral lists this long non-coding RNA (9122 nucleotides) under Xyrichtys novacula (pearly razorfish). The record is from RNAcentral. Lineage: Eukaryota; Metazoa; Chordata; Actinopteri; Labriformes; Labridae.
UAACUUUUUAUUUUUGUCCUCUCUGGCCUCCAAGUUUUCUAGGAUGAUGCAAUGUCCAGCCAUCAACACAUUUGUGAAGGAAUUUUUACUCCCUAAAAGAGCGCCCCCCCAUGGCAGGAGAAAAAAGUCCAUUUUUUCUUGUCCCAUAAGGUGAAAAUACACAUUGUUGACUGUCAUACCUGUAUGCUUUGUCAUAUUGACACAAAAUUUGACACACACAUGUAUCUCAAUAAGAUCUACGAAAAAGUCAAAGAGCGCGUAUCUGUAAAAUGUACGGUUAAAGGGCUAUUUUGCAUUUUUUGCCGAUUAGCACACAUUGGAAUGUGGCUAACUCCUCCUAAGGCUUUCGUCCCACUGACACCAAAUUUGCUCAGGCCAAUCUACACCCCAUGGCCAUUCAAAGUUUUAAAAAUCAUGCCGCUGCACCCCACGGUUUACGUUCUAGGGGGCGCCAAAGAUGACCCAAAUAUCCACAUUCUUAAAAGAAUCCACAUCCCUUUCCCCCCCCCCUCCCAUCCCCCAUCCCCCAUGGCAGGAGAAACAGUCAAGUUUUUCCUGCCCAUCACUCAAUGGCUCAAUCGCAUCGCUCUCCCGGCAACACCGUAACGAGGAGCAACUUGCCGUUUGGAUACAUCCUAGCUGUGUUUGUGCCCUCACUCAUGGUCCAGACUUUUUUCAAAUAGGACAUGUAGUUUGUCUGCAGCGAGUGUUUUGGUAGAAACUGCGCCUCCCAUUCAUUAUAAUGGGAAAUGACCACAGACAAGUGCGCACACCAUCUUUGGACCUUGAGUGUGACGCGAUCGGGAGGGGGAGGCGGUCGCACUGGGGGCGGCGCAACGCGGCUCGGGCCCGCCAGUGCCCCAACGGGGCCCUAGUUCUUUCUUUCUUUUCUUCUUUUUCCUCCCUUUGAACUGGAAAAUGGCCCACUUCCCACUGGCGAAAACUCAUGAAAUUUGGCAGGACGACCGGGCCUGGUGAAAAAUUCGAUAUUCUGAAGUCGCCCAAACAAUAAAAUGCAAAAUGGCUCCAUAGCGCCCCCUAAGGUGGAAAUUCACACUAUUGACUGUCACGCCUGUACGCUUUGUCAUAUUGACACAAAAAUUGACACACAUAUGUAUCUCAAUAAGAUCUACAAAAAAGUCAGUGCGGCCGUAUCUGUCAAAAUUACGGUUAAAGGGUUAUUUCGCAUUUUUUGCCGAUCCGCACACAUUGGAAUUUCGCUAACUCCUCCGAAGGCUUUCGUUCCACCGGCACCACAUUUGCUCAGGCCAAUCUACACCCCAUGGCCAUUAAAAGUUAUUCAAAUCAUGACGCUGCACCCCACGGUUUAGGUUCUAGGGGGCGCCAAAUAUAACACUAAAAUCCACAUAUUUAAAAGUCUUAUAACUUUUUAUUUUUGUCCUCACUGGCCUCCAAGUUUUCUAGGAUGAUGCAAUGUCCAGCCAUCAACACAUUUGUGAAGGAAUUUUUACUCCCCAAAAGAGCGCCCCCCCAUGGCAGGAGAAAAAAGUCAAUUUUUUCUUGUCCCCUAAGGUGAAAAUACACAUUGUUGAGUGUCACGCCUAUACGCUUUGUCAAAAUGACACAAAAAUUGACACACACAUGUAACUCAAUAAGAUCUACGAAAAAGUCAAUGCGCGCGUAUCUGUCAAAUGUACGGUUAAAGGGUUAUUCCGCAUUUUUUGCCGAUCCGCACACAUUGGAAUGUGGCUAACUCCUCCGAAGGCUUUAGUUCCACCGGCACCACAUUUGCUCAGGCCAAUCUACACCCCAUGGCCAUUAAAAGUUAUUCAAAUCAUGACGCUGCACCCCACGGUUUACGUUCUAGGGGGCGCCAAAGAUAACCCUAAAAUCCACAUAUUUAAAAGUCUUAUAACUUUUUAUUUUUGCCCUCACUGGCCUCCAAGUUUUCUAGGAUGAUGCAAUGUCCAGCCAUCAACACAUUUGUGAAGGAAUUUUUACUCCCCAAAAGAGCGCCCCCCAUGGCAGGAGAAAAAAGUCCAUUUUUUCUUGUCCCCUAAGGUGAAAAUACACAUUGUAGAGUGUCACGCCUGUACGCUUUGUCAAAAUGACACAAAAUUUGACAUACACGUGUAUUUCAAUAAGAUCUUCGAAAAAGUCAAUAGCCACGUAUAUGUAAAAUGUACAGUUAAAGGGUUAUUUCACAUUUUUUGCAGAUCCGCACACAUUGGAAUUUGGCUAACUCCUCCUAAGGCUUUCGUCCCACUGACACCAAAUUUGCUCAGGCCAAUCUACACCCCAUGGCCAUUCAAAGUUGUAAAAAUCAUGACGCUGCACCCCACGGUUUACGUUCUAGGGGGCGCCAAAGAUGACCCAAAAAUCCACAUUCUUAAAAGAAUCCACACCCCCCCCCCAUCCCCCAUCCCCCAUGGCAGGAGAAACAGUCAAGUUUUUCCUUCCCAUCACUCAAUGGCUCAAUCGCAUCACUCUCCCGGCAACACCGUAACGAGGAGCAACUUGCCGUUUGGAUAUAUCCUAGCUGUGUUUGUGCCCUCACUCAUGGUCCAGACUUUUUUCAAAUAGGACAUGUAGUUUGUCUGCAGCGAGUGUUUUGGUAGAAACUGCGCCUCCCAUUCAUUAUAAUGGGAAAUGACCACAGACAAGUGCGCACACCAUCUUUGGACCUUGAGUGUGACGCGAUCGGGAGGGGGAGGCGGUCGCGCUGGGGGCGGCGCAACGCGGCUCGGGCCCGACAGUGCCCCACCGGGGUCCUAGUUCUUUGUUUCUUUAGGGCCCGAGCGUAGCUGCUAAGCAGCUGCGAGAGCCCUCUUGUUCCUGUAGUUUCCUUCUUUUGUUAUUAUUAUUAUUAUUAUUUUUCCUCCCCUUUGAACUGGAAAAUGGCCCACUUCCCACUGGCGAAAACUCAUGAAAUUUGGCAGGACGACCGGGCCUGGUGAAAAAUUCGAUAUUCUGAAGUCGCCCAAACAAUAAAAUGCAAAAUGGCUCCAUAGCGCCCCCUAAGGUGUAAAUUCACACUAUUCACUGUCACGCCUGUACGCUUUGUCAUAUUGACACAAAAAUUGAUACACAUAUGUAUCUCAAUAAGAUCUACAAAAAAGUCAGUGCGGCCGUAUCUGUCAAAAUUACGGUUAAAGGGUUAUUUCGCAUUUUUUGCCGAUCCGCACACAUUGGAAUUUCGCUAACUCCUCCGAAGGCUUUCGUUCCACCGGCACCACAUUUGCUCAGGCCAAUCUACACCCCGUGGCCAUUAAAAGUUAUUCAAAUCAUGACGCUGCACCCCACGGUUUAGGUUCUAGGGGGCGCCAAAGAUAACCCUAAAAUCCACAUAUUUAAAAGUCUUAUAACUUUUUAUUUUUGUCCUCACUGGCCUCCAAAUUUUCUAGGAUGAUGCAAUGUCCAGCCAUCAACACAUUUGUGAAGGAAUUUUUACUCCCCAAAAGAGCGCCCCCCCAUGGCAGGAGAAAAAAGUCCAUUUUUUCUUGUCCCCUAAGGUGAAAAUACACAUUGUUGAGUGCUACGCCUGUAUGUUUUGUCGUAUUGACACAAAAUUUUACAUACACGUGUAUUUACAUAAGAUCUUCGAAAAAGUCAAUGGCCACGUAUCUGUAAAAUGUACGGUUAAAGGGUUAUUUCGCAUUUUUUGCAGAUUCGCACACAUUGGAAUUUCGCUAAUUCCUCCGAAGGCUUUCGUUCCACCGGCACCACAUUUGCUCAGGCCAAUCUACACCCCAUGGCCAUUAAAAGUUAUUCAAAUCAUGACGCUGCACCCCACGGUUUAGGUUCUAGGGGGCGCCAAAUAUAACCCUAAAAUCCACAUAUUUAAAAGUCUUAUAACUUUUUAUUUUUGUCCUCACUGGCCUCCAUGUUUUCUAGGAUGAUGCAAUGUCCAGCCAUCAACACAUUUGUGAAGGAGUUUUUUCUCUUUAAAAGAGCGCCCCCCCAUGGCAGGAGAAUAAAGUCAAGUUUUUCCUGUUCAUCAUUCAAUGGCUCAAACGCACUGCUCUCUCGGCAAAAGCGAAAGGAGGAGCAACUUGCCAUUUGGAUAUAUCUUAGCUGUGUUUGUGCCCUCACUCAUGGUCCAGACUUUUUUCAAAUAGGACAUGGAGUUUUUCUGCAGCGAGCGUUUUGGUAGAAACUGCGCCUCCCGUUCAUUAUAAUGGUAAAUGACCACAAACAAGUGCGCACACCAUCUUUGGACCUUGAGUGUGACGCGAUCGGGUGGGGGAGGCGGUCGCGCUGGGGGCGGCGUGACACGGCUCGGGCCCGCCAGUGCCCCAACGGGGCCCUAGUUCUUUCUUUCUUUCUUCUUUUUCCUCCCCUUUGAACUGGAAAAUGGCCCACUUCCCACUGGCGAAAACUCAUGAAAUUUGGUAGGACGACCGGGCCUGGUGAAAAAUUUGAUAUUCUGAAGUCGCCCAAACAAGAAAAUGCAAAAUGGCUCCAUAGCGCCCCCUAAGGUGAAAAUUCACACUAUUGACUGUCACGCCUGUACGCUUUGUCAAAAUGACACAAAAAUUGACACACACAUGUAUCUCAAUAAGAUCUACAAAAAAGUCAGUGCGGGCGUAUCUGUCAAAUGUACGGUUAAAGGGUUAUUUCGCAUUUUUUGCCGAUCCGCACACAUUGGAAUUUCGCUAACUCCUCCGAAGGCUUUCGUUCCACCGGCACCACAUUUGCUCAGGCCAAUCUACACCCCAUGGCCAUUAAAAGUUAUUCAAAUCAUGACGCUGCACCCCACGGUUUAGGUUUUAGGGGGCGCCAAAGAUAACCCUAAGAUCCACAUAUUUAAAAGUCUUAUAACUUUUUAUUUUUGCCCUCACUGGCCUCCAAGUUUUCUAGGAUGAUGCAAUGUCCAGCCAUCAACACAUUUGUGAAGGAAUUUUUACUCCCCAAAAGAGCGCCCCCCAUGGCAGGAGAAAAAAGUCAAUUUUUUCUUGUCCCCUAAGGUGAAAAUACACAUUGUUGAGUGUAACACCUGUACGCUUUGGCAAAAUGACACAAAAAUUGACACACACAUGUAUCUCAAUAAGAUCUACGAAAAAGUCAAUGCGCGCGUAUCUGUUAAAUGUACGGUUAAAGGGUUAUUCCGCAUUUUUUGCUGAUCCGCACACAUUGGAAUUUCGCUAACUCCUCCGAAGGCUUUUGUUCCACCGGCACCACAUUUGCUCAGGCCAAUCUACACCCCAUGGCCAUUAAAAGUUAUUCAAAUCAUGACGCUGCACCCCACGGUUUAGGUUCUAGGGGGCGCCAAAGAUAACCCUAAAAUCCACAUAUUUAAAAGUCUUAUAACUUUUUAUUUUUGUCCUCACUGGCCUCCAAGUUUUCUAGGAUGAUGCAAUGUCCAGCCAUCAACACAUUUGUGAAGGAAUUUUUACUCCCCAAAAGAGCGCCCCCCCAUGGCAGGAGAAAAAAGUCAAUUUUUUCUUGUCCCCUAAGGUGGAAAUUCACACUAUUGACUGUCACGCCUGUACGCUUUAUCAUAUUGACACAAAAAUUGACACACAUAUGUAUCUCAAUAAGAUCUACAAAAAAGUCAAUGCGCGCGUAUCUGUCAAAUGUACGGUUAAAGGGCUAUUUUUGCAUUUUUUGCCGAUUAGCACACAUUGGAAUGUGGCUAACUCCUCCUAAGGCUUUCGUCCCACUGACACCAAAUUUGCUCAGGCCAAUCUACACCCCAUGGCCAUUCAAAGUUGUAAAAAUCAUGACGCUGCACCCCACGGUUUACGUUCUAGGGGGCGCCAAAGAUGACCCAAAUAUCCACAUUCUUAAAAGAAUCCACAUCCCCCUCCCCCCCCAUCCUCCAUCCCCCAUCCCCCAUCCCCCAUGGCAGGAGAAACAGUCAAGUUUUUCCUGCCCAUCACUCAAUGGCUCAAUCGCAUCGCUCUCCCGGCAACACCGUAACGAGGAGCAACUUGCCGUUUGGAUAUAUCCUAGCUGUGUUUGUGCCCUCACUCAUGGUCCAGACUUUUUUCAAAUAGGACAUGUAGUUUGUCUGCAGCGAGUGUUUUGGUAGAAACUGCGCCUCCCAUUCAUUAUAAUGGGAAAUGACCACAGACAAGUGCGCACACCAUCUUUGGACCUUGAGUGUGACGCGAUCGGGAGGGGGAGGCGGUCGCGCUGGGGGCGGCGCAACGCGGCUCGGGCCCGACAGUGCCCCACCGGGGUCCUAGUUCUUUGUUUCUUUCUUUCUUUCUUUCUUCUUUUUCCUCCCCUUUGAACUGGAAAAUGGCCCACUUCCCACUGGCGAAAACUCAUGAAAUUUGGUAGGACGACCGGGCCUGGUGAAAAAUUUGAUAUUCUGAAGUCGCCCAAACAAGAAAAUGCAAAAUGGCUCCAUAGCGCCCCCUAAGGUGAAAAUUCACACUAUUGACUGUCACGCCUGUACGCUUUGUCAAAAUGACACAAAAAUUGACACACACAUGUAUCUCAAUAAGAUCUACAAAAAAGUCAGUGCGGGCGUAUCUGUCAAAUGUACGGUUAAAGGGUUAUUUCGCAUUUUUUGCCGAUCCGCACACAUUGGAAUUUCGCUAACUCCUCCGAAGGCUUUCGUUCCACCGGCACCACAUUUGCUCAGGCCAAUCUACACCCCAUGGCCAUUAAAAGUUAUUCAAAUCAUGACGCUGCACCCCACGGUUUAGGUUUUAGGGGGCGCCAAAGAUAACCCUAAGAUCCACAUAUUUAAAAGUCUUAUAACUUUUUAUUUUUGCCCUCACUGGCCUCCAAGUUUUCUAGGAUGAUGCAAUGUCCAGCCAUCAACACAUUUGUGAAGGAAUUUUUACUCCCCAAAAGAGCGCCCCCCCAUGGCAGGAGAAAAAAGUCAAUUUUUUCUUGUCCCCUAAGGUGAAAAUACACAUUGUUGAGUGUAACACCUGUACGCUUUGGCAAAAUGACACAAAAAUUGACACACACAUGUAUCUCAAUAAGAUCUACGAAAAAGUCAAUGCGCGCGUAUCUGUUAAAUGUACGGUUAAAGGGUUAUUCCGCAUUUUUUGCUGAUCCGCACACAUUGGAAUUUCGCUAACUCCUCCGAAGGCUUUUGUUCCACCGGCACCACAUUUGCUCAGGCCAAUCUACACCCCAUGGCCAUUAAAAGUUAUUCAAAUCAUGACGCUGCACCCCACGGUUUAGGUUCUAGGGGGCGCCAAAGAUAACCCUAAAAUCCACAUAUUUAAAAGUCUUAUAACUUUUUAUUUUUGUCCUCACUGGCCUCCAAGUUUUCUAGGAUGAUGCAAUGUCCAGCCAUCAACACAUUUGUGAAGGAAUUUUUACUCCCCAAAAGAGCGCCCCCCAUGGCAGGAGAAAAAAGUCAAUUUUUUCUUGUCCCCUAAGGUGGAAAUUCACACUAUUGACUGUCACGCCUGUACGCUUUAUCAUAUUGACACAAAAAUUGACACACAUAUGUAUCUCAAUAAGAUCUACAAAAAAGUCAAUGCGCGCGUAUCUGUCAAAUGUACGGUUAAAGGGCUAUUUUUGCAUUUUUUGCCGAUUAGCACACAUUGGAAUGUGGCUAACUCCUCCUAAGGCUUUCGUCCCACUGACACCAAAUUUGCUCAGGCCAAUCUACACCCCAUGGCCAUUCAAAGUUGUAAAAAUCAUGACGCUGCACCCCACGGUUUACGUUCUAGGGGGCGCCAAAGAUGACCCAAAUAUCCACAUUCUUAAAAGAAUCCACAUCCCCCUCCCCCCCCCCCAUCCUCCAUCCCCCAUCCCCCAUCCCCCAUGGCAGGAGAAACAGUCAAGUUUUUCCUGCCCAUCACUCAAUGGCUCAAUCGCAUCGCUCUCCCGGCAACACCGUAACGAGGAGCAACUUGCCGUUUGGAUAUAUCCUAGCUGUGUUUGUGCCCUCACUCAUGGUCCAGACUUUUUUCAAAUAGGACAUGUAGUUUGUCUGCAGCGAGUGUUUUGGUAGAAACUGCGCCUCCCAUUCAUUAUAAUGGGAAAUGACCAUAGACAAGUGCGCACACCAUCUUUGGACCUUGAGUGUGACGCGAUCGGGAGGGGGAGGCGGUCGCGCUGGGGGCGGCGCGACGCGGCUCGGGCCCGACAGUGCCCCACCGGGGCCCUAGUUAUUAUUAUUUUUCCUCCCCUUUGAACUGGAAAAUGGCCCACUUCCCACUGGCGAAAACUCAUGAAAUUUGGCAGGACGACCGGGCCUGGUGAAAAAUUUGAUAUUCUGAAGUCGCCCAAACAAUACAAUGCAAAAUGGCUCCAUAGCGCCCCCUAAGGUGAAAAAUUCACCUGACGCCUGUACGCUUUGUCAAAAUGACACAAAAAUUGACACACACAUGUAUCUCAAUAAGAUCUACAAAAAAGUCAGUGCGGGCGUAUCUGUCAAAUGUACGGUUAAAGGAUUAUUUCGCAUUUUUUGCCGAUCCGCACACAUUGGAAUUUCGCUAACUCCUCCGAAGGCUUUCGUUCCACCGGCACCACAUUUGCUCAGGCCAAUCUACACCCCAUGGCCAUUAAAAGUUAUUCAAAUCAUGACGCUGCACCCCACGGUUUAUGUUCUAGGGGGCGCCAAAGAUAACCCUAAAAUCCACAUAUUUAAAAGUCUUAUAACUUUUUAUUUUUGCCCUCACUGGCCUCCAAGUUUUCUAGGAUGAUGCAAUGUCCAGCCAUCAACACAUUUGUGAAGGAAUUUUUACUCCCCAAAAGAGCGCCCCCCCAUGGCAGGAGAAAAAAGUCCAUUUUUUCUUGUUCCAUAAGGUGAAAAUUCACACUAUUGACUGUCACGCCUGUACGCUUUGUCAAAAUUACACAAAAAUUGACACACACAUGUAUCUCAAUAAGAUCUACAAAAAAGUCAGUGCGCGCGUAUCUGUCAAAUGUACGGUUAAAGGGUUAUUGCGCAUUUUUUGCCGAUCCGCACACAUUGGAAUUUCGCUAACUCCUCCGAAGGCUUUCGUUCCACCGGCACCACAUUUGCUCAGGCCAAUCUACACCCCAUGGCCAUUAAAAGUUAUUCAAAUCAUGACGCUGCACCCCACGGUUUAGGUUCUAGGGGGCGCCAAAGAUAACCCUAAAAUCCACAUAUUUAAAAGUCUUAUAACUUUUUAUUUUUGUCCUCUCUGGCCUCCAAGUUUUCUAGGAUGAUGCAAUGUCCAGCCAUCAACACAUUUGUGAAGGAAUUUUUACUCCCU